This is a long non-coding RNA of Sinocyclocheilus anshuiensis, 101 nucleotides long. RefSeq lists it as uncharacterized. NCBI's taxonomy places the organism in Eukaryota, Metazoa, Chordata, Actinopteri, Cypriniformes, Cyprinidae. The transcript has 3 exons. The record is from RefSeq and is a predicted model, not a curated record.
CUUAUUCUUCCUGCUGUAAGAGUUCAUCCCAAGGAAAACGUCAUUACUAAGAGUGAAGGAAUCCAGCGCUGAUGUCACAGCCUGCACACAUGAUGGAGACG